RNAcentral lists this ribosomal RNA (407 nucleotides) under uncultured bacterium. Its description in RNAcentral is "partial 16S ribosomal RNA". It matches the Rfam family "Bacterial small subunit ribosomal RNA", at positions 28 to 526 of the family's 1533-position model. The record is from RNAcentral.
GACGAACGCUGGCGGCGUGCCUAAUACAUGCAAGUAGGACGCAGUUGCGAACGGGUGAGUAACGCGUAGGUAACUACCUAUUAGAGGGGGCUAACUACUGGAAACGAUAGCUAAUACCGCAUACUAGUAGAUGGACCUGCGUUGUAUUAGCUAGUAGGUAGGGUAAUGGCCUACCUAGGCAACGAUACAUAGCCGACCUUAGAGGGUUGUCGGCCACACUUGGACUGAGACAAGGCCCAGACUCCUACGGGGGGGAGGCAGAGGGAAUCAUCGGCAAUGGGGGGAACCCUUACCGAGCAACGCCGCGGGAGGGAAGAAGGUUUUCGGAGCGGAAAGCUCCGUUGUUAGAGAAGCGGUACUUGCCCAGAAAGGAACGGCUAACUACGUGCCAGCCGCCGCGGUAAUUC